This 580-nucleotide ribosomal RNA is filed under the name uncultured bacterium. RNAcentral's name for it is "bacterial SSU rRNA". It matches the Rfam family "Bacterial small subunit ribosomal RNA", at positions 102 to 668 of the family's 1533-position model. The record is from RNAcentral.
ACGGGUGAGUAACACGUGGGCAACCUGCCUGUAAGACUGGGAUAACUUCGGGAAACCGAAGCUAAUACCGGAUAGGAUCUUCUCCUUCAUGGGAGAUGAUUGAAAGAUGGUUUCGGCUAUCACUUACAGAUGGGCCCGCGGUGCAUUAGCUAGUUGGUGAGGUAACGGCUCACCAAGGCAACGAUGCAUAGCCGACCUGAGAGGGUGAUCGGCCACACUGGGACUGAGACACGGCCCAGACUCCUACGGGAGGUAGCAGUAGGGAAUCUUCCGCAAUGGACGAAAGUCUGACGGAGCAACGCCGCGUGAGUGAUGAAGGCUUUCGGGUCGUAAAACUCUGUUGUUAGGGAAGAACAAGUACGAGAGUAACUGCUCGUACCUUGACGGUACCUAACCAGAAAGCCACGGCUAACUACGUGCCAGCAGCCGCGGUAAUACGUAGGUGGCAAGCGUUAUCCGGAAUUAUUGGGCGUAAAGCGCGCGCAGGCGGUUUCUUAAGUCUGAUGUGAAAGCCCACGGCUCAACCGUGGAGGGUCAUUGGAAACUGGGGAACUUGAGUGCAGAAGAGAAAAGCGGAAUU